This 871-nucleotide ribosomal RNA is filed under the name uncultured Actinomycetes bacterium. RNAcentral describes it as "bacterial SSU rRNA". It matches the Rfam family "Bacterial small subunit ribosomal RNA", at positions 34 to 918 of the family's 1533-position model. Lineage: Bacteria; Bacillati; Actinomycetota; Actinomycetes. The record is from RNAcentral.
CGCUAGCCGCCGUGCUUAACACAUGCAAAGUCGAGCGUAAAGCCCUUUCGGGGACACGAGAUGGCGAACCGAUGAGUAACACGUGGGGUGACCUGCCGUCAGCUAUGAGAUAAGCUCGGGAAACUGGUCUAAAACCGGAUAUAACUCCAUGACGCAUGCUGUGGGGAGGAAAGCCUUGUGCGGCUGAGGAUGGGCCCGCGGCCUAUCAACUAGUUGGUGGGGUGAUGGCCUACCAAGGCGACGACGGGUAGCCGGCCUGAGAGGGCGACCGGCCACACUGGGACUGAGACACGGCCCAGACUCCACGGGAGGCAGCAGUGGGGAAUCUUGCGCAAUGGGCGAAAGCCUGACGCAGCGACGCCGCGUGAGGGAUGACGGCCUUCGGGUUGUAAACCUCUUUCAGCUCCGACGAAGCGGAAGUGACGGUAGGAGCAGAAGAAGCACCGGCCAAUUACGUGCCAGCAGCCGCGGUAAUACGUAGGGUGCAAGCGUUGUCCGGAAUUAUUGGGCGUAAAGAGCUCGUAGGCGGUCUGUCGCGUCGGCUGUGAAAACUCGGGGCUCAACUCCGAGCUUGCAGUCGAUACGGGCAGGCUAGAGUUCGGCAGGGGAGACUGGAAUUCCUGGUGUAGCGGUGAAAUGCGCAGAUAUCAGGAGGAACACCGGUGGCGAAGGCGGGUCUCUGGGCCGAUACUGACUCUGAGGAGCGAAAGCGUGGGGAGCGAACAGGAUUAGAUACCCUGGUAGUCCACGCCGUAAACGUUGGGCGCUAGGUGUGGGAUCCCUUCCACGGGUUCCGUGCCGCAGCUAACGCAUUAAGCGCCCCGCCUGGGGAGUACGGCCGCAAGGCUAAAACUCAAAUGAAUUGACGGGG